Long non-coding RNA from Sinocyclocheilus anshuiensis, 292 nucleotides. RefSeq lists it as uncharacterized. The record is from RefSeq and is a predicted model, not a curated record. The transcript is spliced from 2 exons. Lineage: Eukaryota; Metazoa; Chordata; Actinopteri; Cypriniformes; Cyprinidae.
AAAAGUGUUCUUGUAGCUGUACAAAAUAGACAAAAAAUGUCCUCCAAUCUAACAAGCAUGUAAUGAGAUGUGUGUAGAGUUGGACUUGUUUGUGAAAGUGAGUUGUUGAUUUGUGAGGUCUUGUGUACUAACUCAUCUUUUGUGCUACUCAGCGACUGAUGCCGAGAGGUUCUUUCCAGGCUGGCUUUACCAGGCAGCUGCUACAGGCUUUUGGUGUCAUUUUGUACCGAAGAGGAAAAUGACGGCGCCUUUUUAUACAAUCACUUGUGACACAGGAAUGUUUAGUGAAUGU